RNAcentral lists this ribosomal RNA (465 nucleotides) under uncultured bacterium. RNAcentral describes it as "partial 16S ribosomal RNA". It matches the Rfam family "Bacterial small subunit ribosomal RNA", at positions 28 to 506 of the family's 1533-position model. The record is from RNAcentral.
GACGAACGCUGGCGGCGCGCCUAACACAUGCAAGUCGAACGAGCGAGCGAGAGCUUGCUUUCUCGAGCGAGUGGCGAACGGGUGAGUAACGCGUGAGGAACCUGCCUCAAAGAGGGGGACAACAGUUGGAAACGACUGCUAAUACCGCAUAAGCCCACGGCUCGGCAUCGAGCAGGGGGAAAAGGAGCGAUCCGCUUUGAGAUGGCCUCGCGUCCGAUUAGCUAGUUGGUGAGGUAACGGCCCACCAAGGCGACGAUCGGUAGCCGGACUGAGAGGUUGAACGGCCACAUUGGGACUGAGACACGGCCCAGACUCCUACGGGAGGCAGCAGUGGGGAAUAUUGCACAAUGGGGGAAACCCUGAUGCAGCGACGCUGCGUGGAGGAAGAAGGUCUUCGGAUUGUAAACUCCUGUUGUUGGGGAAGAUAAUGACGGUACCCAACAAGGAAGUGACGGCUAACUACGU